UACGUAGGGUGCGAGCGUUAAUCGGAAUUACUGGGCGUAAAGCGUGCGCAGGCGGUGAGUUAAGUCUGAUGUGAAAGCCCCGGGCUCAACCUGGGAAUGGCAUUGGAAACUGGCUCGCUGGAGUGUGGCAGAGGGGGGUGGAAUUCUGCGUGUAGCAGUGAAAUGCGUAGAGAUGCGGAGGAACACCGAUGGCGAAGGCAGCCCCCUGGGCCAACACUGACGCUCAGGCACGAAAGCGUGGGGAGCAAACAGG
RNAcentral lists this ribosomal RNA (253 nucleotides) under uncultured bacterium. Its description in RNAcentral is "partial 16S ribosomal RNA". It matches the Rfam family "Bacterial small subunit ribosomal RNA", at positions 524 to 776 of the family's 1533-position model. The record is from RNAcentral.